AAAGUCGUAACAAGGUUUCCGUAGGUGAACCUGCGGAAGGAUCAUUAUUGAAUAAACUUGACGUGGUUGUUAGCUGACUCUCCGGAGUAUGUGCUCGCCCGUCACCUUUAUCUUUCCACCUGUGCACACACUGUAGUCCUGGAUACCUCUCGUCGAAAGACGGAUGCGGAGUUUGCUGUUCCACCCUCACGGGAGGUCGGCUUCCUCUGAAUUUCCAGGUCUAUGAUCUUAUACACCCCUAAACGAAUGUUUCAGAAUGUAAUCAUAAGGCCUUGUGCCUAUAAACCUAUACAACUUUCAGCAACGGAUCUCUUGGCUCUC
RNAcentral lists this unclassified non-coding RNA (321 nucleotides) under Basidiomycota sp. Its description in RNAcentral is "partial contains small subunit ribosomal RNA, internal transcribed spacer 1, and 5.8S ribosomal RNA". The stretch from base 1 to 47 matches the Rfam family "Eukaryotic small subunit ribosomal RNA", at positions 1785 to 1831 of the family's 1831-position model. The record is from RNAcentral. Lineage: Eukaryota; Fungi; Basidiomycota.